RNAcentral lists this transfer RNA (75 nucleotides) under Armatimonadota bacterium. RNAcentral's name for it is "tRNA-Glu". It matches the Rfam family "tRNA". From Rfam's summary of the family: Transfer RNA (tRNA) molecules are approximately 80 nucleotides in length. Lineage: Bacteria; Bacillati; Armatimonadota. RNAcentral also lists the same sequence under 1 other name. The record is from RNAcentral.
GCGCCCAUAGUCUAGUGGUCAGGAUACCGGGUUCUCAGCCCGGGGGCCGGGGUUCGACUCCCCGUGGGCGUACCA